UACGGAGGGUGCAAGCAUUAAUCGGAAUUAUUGGGCGUAAAGGGCGCGUAGGCGGAACGAUAAGUCAGAUGUGAAAUUCCGAGGCUCAACUUCGGAGCUGCAUUUGAAACUAUAGAUCUUGAGGAUUGGCGGAGAGAACGGAAUUCCACGUGUAGCGGUGAAAUGCGUAGAUAUGUGGAAGAACACCUGUGGCGAAAGCGGUUCUCUAGCUAAUAGCUGACGCUGAGGCGCGAGAGCAAGGGGAGCAAACAGG
Molecule: ribosomal RNA, 253 nt
Filed under: uncultured bacterium
Lineage: Bacteria
Description: partial 16S ribosomal RNA
Rfam family: Bacterial small subunit ribosomal RNA
Source: RNAcentral